AGUUAAUUAGCUUAUAAAAAGCAUAUAUUUUGAAAAUAUAAGAAAGAUAAAACUAAUUUAUUAGCUU
RNAcentral lists this transfer RNA (67 nucleotides) under Macrosteles quadrilineatus (aster leafhopper). Its description in RNAcentral is "tRNA-Ser". Lineage: Eukaryota; Metazoa; Arthropoda; Insecta; Hemiptera; Cicadellidae. The record is from RNAcentral.